Non-coding RNA from Heterocephalus glaber (naked mole-rat), 4960 nucleotides. NCBI's taxonomy places the organism in Eukaryota, Metazoa, Chordata, Mammalia, Rodentia, Bathyergidae. The record is from RefSeq and is a predicted model, not a curated record.
UGCGCCCCCUUGCGCCCCCCCCAUGAGGCGGCGCUUCCGGGAAGAUGGCGGCCAUGCGAGCUGCCCCGGGACGGGUGACGGCGGCGGCCGCUGAGUCCAAGGCGAAGGACGCAGAGGAGGAAGAAGAGGAGUCGCCACCGCCGUGCGAGGCAGUCCGCUGGGCCCCGGUGGGGGCGGUGGCCGAGGCCGGGUCCGGGACGGCCGCGUUCUCGGAGGCGGCUGAGGAGUCCGGGACGGCCCCGGGGUCUCCCCCAGGCUCGCCGACCCGGGCGUUGCGGCGGCUGCGGGCCGAGCGGCGGCGGCUGGACUCGGCGCUCCUCGCGCUGUCCUCGCACUUCGCUCAGGUGCAGUUCCGCCUGCGUCAGGUGGUGCGCGGGGCGCCGGCCGAGCAGCAGCGCCUCCUGCGCGAGCUCGAGGACUUCGCCUUCCGCGGCUGCCCGCACGUGCUGGGGGACGAGGGGCCCAGGGACGCCACCUGCGACGAGGACUAUGAGGGCGACGGGCCACCCGGGCAGCGGCCGCGGGUGCGGGGCGAGAGCCAGGGCUUGAGUGAGCAGGAGAGACGGCAGCGCCUGGAAAUCCAGCGGGAGAAGCAGAGGGAGCUGAUCCUGCAGCUUAAGAACCAGCUGGAUGACCUGGAGACAUUUGCCUACCAGGAGGGCAGCUACGACUCUCUGCCGCAGGCCAUGGUCCUGGAGAGGCAGCGGGUGAUCAUAGACGAGCUGAUAAAGAAGCUGGACAUGAACCUGAACGAGGACCUCAGCUCACUGUCCACCGAGGAGCUCCGCCAGCGUGUGGACGCGGCUGUGACGCAGAUGGUGAGCCCAGCCCGAGUGAAGGAGCAGCUGGUGGAGCAGCUGAAGACCCAGAUCCGAGACCUGGAGAUGUUCAUCAGCUUCAUCCAAGAUGAAGCAGGAAACCCCUUGCAAGCAGGCGGCAGACCCUGUGCGUGCAAGGCCAGCGGCAGGACAGCAGGCGGCUCCAGUGGGCCCGGCGGCGGCCAGGCCCCCCCAGGAAGCAGCACAGCAAAGGUGGAGGAUGUGAAGCACACCCGGGAGUCGGGGCUGCACCUGAUGCGCCGUGCGCUGGCCGUGCUGCAGAUCUUUGCUGUGAGCCAGUUUGGCUGCACCACAGGACAGAUCCCGCCUGGCCUGUGGCAGAGGGGCCAGGCCGACAGGGACUACACCCCUCUGCUGAGGCGCCUGGAGGCGGCGGUGGACAAAGUGAAGCAGCUGGCCCUGCGGCACCAGCCGCAGGACCACGUGGUCACCUCUGCGCCACUCCGGGACGCGUCCCCAGGGGCCGGGGAUGAGCUGACCACGGCAGUGCGGAAGGAGCUGACGGUGGCCGUGCGGGACCUGCUGGCCCACGGGCUGCACGCUGCGUCCCCCGGGGUGAGCCUGGUCCUGGCGCCGCUCGCCUGCCUGCUGCCAGCCUUCUCCUCGGGCCCCGAGGCCAUGCAUCCCUGGGAGCUCUUCGUAAAGUACUACCAUGCCAAGAACGGCCGCGCCUAUGUGGAGUCCCCAGCCCGCAAGCUGUCCCAGGCCUUUGCCCUGCCUGUGGGGGGUGGUGCCGUGGCGACCCCCAAGCAGAGCCUGCUGAGUGCCAUCCACCUGGUGCUGACUGAACACGACCCCUUUAAGCGCAGUGCGGACUCCGAGCUGAAGGCGCUGGUGUGCUUGGCGCUCAACGAGCAGCGCCUGGUGUCCUGGGUGAACCUCAUCUGCAAGUCGGGGCCCCUCCUGGAGCUGCACUACCAGCCCUGGAGCUACAUGGCCCGCACAGGCUUCGAGAGUGCCCUCACGCUGCUCAGCCGCCUCAGCAGCCUCAGGUUCAGCCUCCCUGUGGACCUGGCCGUGCGCCAGCUCAAGAACAUCAAGGAUGCCUUCUGAGGACCCAGGCUGAGGCCCCGCCCUGCCUGGCCCUCCCACUCGGCUGCGCCGGGACCCUCUUGUGAGAAAGUCCAAGGAGGGGCAGUGCUGCGAGGCACAGAGCCCUGUGAGUAACAGCUUCCACCCCAGCGUGCGAACACGCGCACGCCUGGGCCUGGGCCUUCUGAGCCUGUGUCUCGGGAAUCCGUUUCGGGCACAGCUUCUGCCCAGCCUCGUGUGCACCACUGUGUUUUAGAGACUUGGGUCUUUGUGGCAGUCACCGUGGGACUGAGCUUCUGGUCCUGAGGCCCCGAGGUGCCUGAUAGUGGCUCUGAGCACCCAUCCCUCAAGGGAGACAGUCAGGGGUCCCAGGGCCAGAGCUGGAAGCCCCUGUGGAAUGCCGAUUCCUCUUCCCUCCAGCCAGUGUCAGGCCAGGCCCUGCUCUCUGAAUGCGGCUGUCAGGACCACAUUUCCCUGGGAGAUGAUUUUACUGUGGGCCUUUUCCUUGGAGAGGUGGGAACAAGGGAGCCCUCACAGUGCAGGUGACAGUGUCGAGGGCAUGAGAGCUCAUGUCUGAUCCUGUGUCCUCUGUGUGCAUCCAGACGGGACACACAGCAGGUAGAACCAAGACCACUGCUUAGCGCGUCCUCACUCCAGAGUGCUCAGGUUCCGUGGUGUGCAUCCCCGGCAUCAGCCACUGGCACCACUUGUUCUGGGGCCAGAUAUGGCAUAGGUCUGAUGGCCUGGCGGGUCCUGCGGUGGGGACAGGAGCUGCAGCGGGUCCCUGUGGCUAACGGCCUAAUGUCACUGUGGACCCUGAGUCCUCACGCCUCACUCAGCUCAUGCAGGCUCUGUUCCAGCCCUGGCCGGCGAUGGGAGACACUGCGGGCUCAGCAUCGCGCCAGUCACAGAUCCACUACAAAGUGCCGUGGCCAUCAUCAUCCAUCUUGCUCUCGCCUGCAGUCCCAUCCUGUAUGGUCUCUUUCCUGUUGCCAGGAUGCAGCACCUGGCACCUCAGCUUAAAGGAGCAGAGGCUUCAUUUGGCCCACGGCUGUGGGAGAUUCAGUCCAUGAAACAAGUGACCGAGAAGUUACUUAGAUUACCAGCUUCCCAUGAUGCCAAGAGAAGGGAUUUGAACUCAAGCUGCCUGCGUCUGAAGCCUCUGUCCUUAUCAAUACCUCACUGCAUGAUGCUGUUUCUAGGACCUUCUGUUCAUUUCUCCCUUUUACCCAUCCCCCGAUUUUACCCUCUCUGAGGAGGGAAAAGUAUUUUCUACAUAAUUGCCAGAAAUUUCUGUUCAGAGCUCUGGGCUGGGGCAGGGGGAUGGGCAUUGCUCUGCCACCUUAGCAAAACCCUAGGGUGUAGCCACAGGGACAAUCCCGCCAGCAGCUAGACCCCAGCUGCCUGCUAGACCUGGGUAUAGGAAAACAGAGCUCUGUCCUUGGUGUGGGAGUCAGCUCAAGUCUACCACUGAGCAGCGAUGAAACAAACUAUUUGUGGAUCCACAGCCCACGGAGCUGCAGGGUCCACAGUAUAAGUAUGCUGUAAGGUGCCAGGCGCGGCAGUGCACACGUUUAACCCACCUGCUUGGGAGGCUGAGGCAGGAGGAUCAAAGGUUCAGGGCCAGCCCAGGCAAUCCAAAGAAAAAGUGGGUGUGUGUGUGUGCUGGGAUUUAGCUUGGUGGCAGAGCAUUUGCCUAAUGUGUGAGGCCCUGGGUUCAAUCCCUAGCAACACACACUCCCAAGGUGACUGCAAGCUUUCUGGGUUUUUCUCCAAAGAAGGAGCAAAAGAGGAACAGAUGAAGGUGCUGGGAGAAGAUCAUGGAGGCAGAGAUGUGCAGGGGAGUGCAAGGUCACAGGAGGAGCACUGGGGACUUCCUGUGCCACCAACUCUGCCUGCUGCUCUAGAACUCAGAGGCCAGAGUAGAUCUUCACUGAGGUCCCUUUGCCUCCAAAUGCCCUAUUCCAAACAGCAGAAAAGAAUUGGACAGAGCCAGGCGUGUGGUGACACACGCCUGUGAUCCCAGCACUCAGGAGGCUGAGGCAGGAGGAUAAGUGAGUUCAAGGAAGGCCUGAAAUAUAUAGGGAGACCCUGUCUCAAAAAAAAUAGGGCUGAGAUUUAGCUCAGGGGCAAGGUCCUGAGUUCAAUUCCCACUACCUCAAAAAAGCUAAAAUAGGGGCCAGGGAUCAAGCUCAGUGGUUCUGAUGCUCGCCUGGCCAAGUGCAAGGUCCCAAGUUCAAGCCCCAGUAUCAAAAAACCCCGAAAAUUACUAAAAAAACCCGUGGAGAUGUUUCCACAUCUUGCCCAAAUGAGACCUAUUUAGGCCUUACACGUUCAGAAGAGCAAGAACCAUGAGAUACUCUGUCUUCCUCUUGGACUUGGAGGACACCCCGGGUUCACAAAUGUGAGCCAGAGAUUUUUAAGGGUGUCAAGGGUGUCGUCUGACCUCCCAAACCAAUGCGAAGGUCUCAGCAGGAAGUACCGUCCCGGUGAGUGACGGGAGGCAAUUCACUUGGGUACCUACUAGACUUGGGUUCAGACCCAGAUGAAUCCAUCUACGAGAGGGAGUAGGCUCGAUCUCAGGUCGGUAACUGUCCCCCUCUGAACUGCAAUUCCCUGUCUAGAUGGGAGGAAAAUAACCCAAGGGCUGCGGGGCUCACUACAGCGCCGGGUACCGUGCCGGGGCUGUUCAGUGGACGGCUGAGGUCUGAGUCCCAACCUGGCCACCUACUCUCCUGGGCUUUUAUGAUCAGCCUAAACCUCCCUACAUUCAGCUGUAGAACGAGGAUCAGACUAGCGCCUGUGUCCUGCAGCCUCCUGAGGGUCAAAUCAGUGUAAACAGAGCAGCCUGGCCUGGCAGCUGGGACACUGCUAGGCUGAAUGUUGGAGGCCCAGGCCCGCGUUUCAUCUUCGCCUCCGCUCCUUGCUAACAGUGAACACGGCAAGCAUCAUUAAACGUCCUAUUUUGUUCCCUGCGUCUUCCAGGGCGAAAAAGUAAAUUUUAGGGCCGGGGAUUUAGCUCAGUGGGACCACGCCUGCCUUGCCAGCUCAAGGUCCUGAGUUCGAUCCCUGGGGAAAAAAAAAAAAAA